This 428-nucleotide long non-coding RNA is filed under the name Cricetulus griseus (Chinese hamster). RNAcentral describes it as "lncRNA (ENSCGRG00015004494.2)". Lineage: Eukaryota; Metazoa; Chordata; Mammalia; Rodentia; Cricetidae. The record is from RNAcentral.
GCUUCCCUGAUGGGGAGCAGGGAUGGGGACAGGGAGCCUCUAGUGUUUGAUUCCCUCUCCCCUAUCAAAAUGUGAGUGACAUACAGUGUAUCUCUGUCUCGGGUGGGAGUCUCGGGCUCAGCAUCUCCACCUUACAGAAGCCCUCUACACCCUUCUGGGUCUGUGCUGGCUAUGGCUCUGCAGGAGACAGUUCUUUCAAAAGACUUCAGUUGCGUUGCUUCUCCAGAAGUUUCCCAGGGUCUGGAUCUUGCUAACUUCUUUCCACGCCAAACCUCUGAAACAAAUGCUAUUUGUUGUGUAUGUGAAUUCAGCCCAAAAUUUCAGAAUGCCUAAAACUCAAUUUGACUUUUUCCUGCGAGGCUUCAUACUGAUUUUAGCACCCCACGCUGUUGCAGUCUUGCAAGGAUGCCUUUGUCCCUUUUCCCUAG